CCUCAUCUGGUUGUAAGUAGGCAAUCUAGUAUAUUAUUCGUGGCACUAAUCUCCAGUCCCCAGAACCACUUCAGCUUAAUGUAGUGGUUCUGGUGUCCAUAGCCUGUCCCUGCAGGCCUUUUAAUGUAAACACGACGGCACUGCAGCACUGGCGUUAGUUAACAUGGCAGAUCAUAUGGGUGGGGCAUUGUGAUGUCACAUGGGGGGGCGGCAAACUUUACUUUUGCCUAGGGCGGCAAAAAUCCUUGCACCGGCCCUGCUUAAAGGUACUCAUGGGACUUAACCAAAUUGUAAAAUUCCAGUAAUAAGAGUUCAAUUAGAACAUUUCUCCAACUAACCCAUAGUCACAGCUUGGAUAUUUUGAAAUUACUGUGUUUUAACGACUAAUUAUUAUUCUAACUAAUAUAAUAAUUUCAGUGAUAUAAUUACUUUUUGGAAUUAGAAAAACCGUAACCAUUUAAAAGGACAUCAAUAAUCCAAAGUAGUCUCUGGGAUCACUAGUCACAGUUUCUAUCGGUAUUAUUUGUUUAGAUAACAUUAUUAUUUCAUUUGGAAUCUUUGUACAGACCGCUAGCCAGCAAUUACCAGCAGCAGAUGAUAGUUUUUUUAAUUUUGCCCUGUUUGGUGACGAUUUGAAGUUGGACCGGGGGGAAAUUGAGCUGAAAUGUGAACAAAUAGUGCUGUACAGAAAACAUUGUAGAUUCAUGGAAUAGCCUGCCAGUGGGAGCAGUAAUAGUAAUAUAGAAAGGGUAGUAGAUACAUGGAAUAGCCUUCCAGUGAGAGCAGUAACAGUGAUAUAGAAAGGGUAGUAGAUUCAUGGAAUAGCCUGCCAGUGGGAACAGUAACAGUGAUAUAGAAAGGGUAGUAGAUACCUGGAAUAGCCUUCCAGUGGGAGCAGUAACAGUGAUAUAGAAAGGGUAGUAGAUACCUGGAAUAGCCUUCCAGUGGGAGCAGUAACAGUGAUAUAGAAAGGAUAGUAGAUACCUGUAAUAGCCUUCCAGUGGGAGCAGUAACAGUGAUAUAGAAAGGGUAGUAGAUACCUGGAAUAGCCUUCCAGUGGGAGCAGUAACACUGAUAUAUAAAGGGUAGUAGAUACCUGGAAUAGCCUUCCACUGGGAGCAGUAACAGUGAUAGAGACAGGGUAGUAGAUACCCGGAAUAGCCUUCCAGUGGGAGCAGCAACAGUGAUAUAGAAAGGGUAGUAGAUACCUGGAAUAGCCUUCCAGUGGGAGCAGUAACAGUGAUAUAGAAAGGGUAGUAGAUACCUGGAAUAGCCUUCCAGUGGGAGCAGUAACAGUGAUAUAGAAAGGGUAGUAGAUACCUGGAAUAGCCUUCCAGUGGGAGCAGUAACAGGGAUAUAGAAAGGGUAGUAGAUACCUGGAAUAGCCUUCCAGUGGGAGCAGUAACACAGAUAUACAGUGUGACAGCACCUGUUUUGGUCCAAAGUUUGUAAAAUUCCCUGCAAUCCUAUUGGAGAUACUGGACAUGUAUCAAUGCUUUCUGCCUGGGGUGCACUUUGUCAUAACAGUGGCUCAGGCUGAAAUGAAAUGUAUUCUCAGUAUCUAAUUUUGAAUAUAUGUUAAAGGCAGUGAGAAGGCAGUGGGAAAGCUCAGUAGAUAAAGAUCACAGCUUUCCAACUAGAUUGCCUUUUCAUUCUUUUAAAAAAGUUUGGCAAGUAUAAUAUUGAUGAGCUGAAUGUAAGAUUCCAUUUUAUAACACUAAACAGCUCUUAAUCUGUUUGUUUGUUUGUUUGUUUUUCGAGGGGUGGGAGGCGUUUAGUUUUUUUACCGGUUAGUAAUUUUCUUCUACAGCAGAAUAUGAUCGUACAGAUUUCUGCCACAAACCCUGGGCUGUUCUGUAAUUUACAUAUCUGUGAUAUCUCCUAACGCUUGGCUCCUUGUCUAUUGUACUCUCCCCCUGUAAUAAUGUUAUUCUGUGAUCUGCGGAACGCGAUGGUAAAAUGUGAUACCAAAUGUAUUCGCCUGCUAUGCUGAGCGAGAGAACUUGGCCUCUAAUCUUUGCUCCCUCAUACAAAAUGAAAGCAAUAUGUAUAUUCACACAUAUCACAUUUACUGAAAGCUAAUUUCACACUGCUAAAUGCAUAGAUCUGAUAUACGAACGGUCUGCCCUUCACGUAACAGAAGACGAAAGUGCAGGAUUUGUGAGAGUUUAAUACUUUCACGCACCCAUCUGAUGUAAAGUGUUAGAGAACAGGUCAGACACUCUCACAGGGUUUGACAGAUUUUCUCAGUGGGAACAAAUCCUCAAAUCUUCAAUGCCACACUUUUACUAUUUUCUUCUAAAAGCUCAUGUCAGGUUCACAGUUCUCAGAUUGACCUCAUCAAGGACACAGCAUCAAUAGGGAUACAGACAUACACAGGGCUCGUCUUAUUCUCGGACUUUGUAAAUCCAUAAUUGGGUGAAGUCUUUUUCAGGAGCUGAGAUGUGUUAGAUGGACUGCUAGGAGAACUGUAGUAAUUCACAAACUGAGGAUACCACACUCACACUUAGGAAUCCAGGUGCUUAUCAGGGCUGAGGUUGGCCAAACCCAGUUUAGUGGAUAAAAUAAAUUAGGUCCAGGUACUCAGGAUUGUUUAUACUUAAAAAUAAUAAGGUGCGCUGUGUCUUUAAGACCCAAUAAUAUAAAGUGCAACUAAGUGCAAACAAUUUGAUAAAGUGCAAAGUGAUACAAAGUGCACUUAGAGUGUGAAAUAUAAAUAUAAAAUAUUAUACAUACAUAUGGCCUCUCAAAUCCAGAUAUACAUAGAAAGAAAAAAGACACAAAAAAAACAAUAGUGUGAAACCGUAUUAAAAAUAUAAUAUGGAUAAUAAAUGCCAAAUAUUGCACUCACAAAAGUAGAGCAGAAUAAGCCUGCUCUAGCUUUAACAGCUUCUUCAAAUAUAGGACUGCACAGACGAAAAAUAUUCCAAAAUCUUUAUUGCCCAGCACAGCACCAAUUUAUCACCUUCCUCCACACUUAGUAUUCAGUUACAGAGCCUUCGGUAGCAUACAGCAUAAGGGUAUCGACCUGUCCCUCUGCGGAUUCGCCGCCGUUAUUACCGUCUGUUGGCCGUCUGUUUCCUCAAACUUCCAGGGGGAGGGGCUUCCUCGGGUGCGUGACAUAAGGUGCGUAACUUUGCGUGAUGACGCGUUUCGCCGUAUUCACGGCUUCAUCAGAUCUUCCCAUCCAUAUCCUUAAAGUCCUUAUAUACCCAUCUUAAUGGGUGUAUUCAGGUGACUGCCAUAUAGAGUCUAUUAUUUUAUUGCUGGUAUCGAUCAAAUCAAUUAAAUAUAUAAAAACAAUAUUACUUUAUUCAAAAUUGCAUUAUUUAAAAACAUAUAUAUACAUUAAAACACAUCGUUUCCCAAAGAAACUUAUUGCAAGAGACAUAUUUAAAGAAACAUACUUAAAGGCAUCAUUACCCUAAGAGAAUUAUUUAAAGAGACACAUUUAAAGAGACAUACUUAAAGAUACAUAAAUACAUAUUUAGAAACACAUGCUAAUGACAUAACAAUUUAGCAACUCCUCCUAAUCCAAAUGUAAAAAGGUAUUGAAAAAAAUAUAAAAAAUAGAUAAUAAAAAUACCUGAAGCAAAGGAAGAAAUCAAAAAAAAGCCUUAAAUAUCUGAACACUAUAUUAAAAAACAUAUUCUAAAAAAAUAUAAAUCAUAUAAAAAAAUAUACAUUGUAAGAAAUAUAUAUAGAAACAUAUUAUUAUACUAAAUAACCCAACAUCUGUAUUAACCUAAAAAAUUUAAUAAAUCAAAUUCCAUAUUGAGCCCCCUAGGUUCUAAUGUUUUUAACCUAUGGACCCAUUGCAUUUCUUUUUUGCCUAUGUCAAUAAUAUGAUUUCCCCCUCUCCAUGAUUGGAUUGUUGCAGGAAGGCAGGUUUAUUGUAACAAGCUUGAUAAAGGCCUCUGUGUAGACCCACACAUUGCACUUUUUGUUAGGAGAACUGGCACAUAGGAUGAGCCUCUAUAAUUCCAUGUAUCAGACCCUGUAGGUUAUAUAGACAAGACAGGUAAUUCACAUGUCCAAUAUGGAUCAGGCAGGGAACUAAGGUAUUACCAGGUAGAUAAGGGGCCGGGGCAGGGGAGGAAUGGUCUAAUAACUGGGUGAGCAACCUUUAGCACUCCAAAUAUUGUGGACUAAAUAUCCCACAACAUUCUUACGGCAUCAGGGAAGACGUGGUCCACAACAUCUGGAGUGCCAAAAGUUGCCUAACCCUGGUCUAAUAAAUUGCGAGGGGGGCUUUUAUUUAUUUAUUUUCGCUUUUAGCACUAGUAGCAAUUAAACAAUUAACUUAAUAGUUCUUAAUAAACUUCAUGAUUGUGCAAAAUAUUCUAAAUUUAAUAUGUGGACAUAUUUCAUGCUAAAAAUGCACAAUGUGCAUAAUGUUUCCUGAGAAUUAUAUUUAGUGUGAACAUUAAUACUCACAGUUUUUCAAGUAGUGCAAUUCACGAUAUAUUUCUCUGUAUACACUUCCAUUAUUUAUUAUAGUCGCUAUUUUUAUUUGUGGAGGUUGAAGCACUGGUGAAAAAUGAGGCAGCGUGAUCAGUCCUGCAAAUAGUUUUUCACACAGUAAAUUUUUAUGUCGAUUUUGUUUGCCAGUUGUGCCUGAUUAGUAAAUACUUUACCUUUCAUUAUUUAUCUAAACAGGUUUUUUCCUGGGAAGAGUACAUUUAAAUGUUACUAUUUCUGAUGUUUUUGUAUUGAAUCGCGAUGUAUACAAUACAGGUAGUGAAAUAUUAGUUACAUAGCUGAAAAGAGACUUGCGUCCAUCAAGUUCAGCCUUCCUCACAUAUGUGGUUGCUGUUGAUCCAAAAGAAGGCAAAAAACCUGGUCUGAAGCGCUUCCAAUUUUGCCACAAACUAGGAAAAAAUUCCUUCUUGACCCCAAAAUAGCAGUCAGAUGUCUCCUUGGAUCAAGCAGCUAUUACCCCGCUAAUUAGAAAUUAUAUCCCUGUAUGUUAUGUUUUUGCAAGUAUUUAUCCAGUUGCAGUUUAAACAUCUGUAUAGACUCUGACAAAACCACCUCUUCAGGCAGAGAAUUCCAUAUCCUUAUUGCUCUUACUGUAAAAAAAAAUUUUCUUUGCCUUAGAUGAAAUCUCCUUUCUUCUAGCCUAAAUACACGUGUCCUAUCUAUAGCCCUGUUUAUGAAUAGAUUUCCAGAUAAUGGUUUGUACUGGCCCCGAAUAUAUUUGUAUAAAGUUAUCAUAUCCCCUAUAACUAUUGUUAUAGUAUCAGCUGAUGGCAGAUAUAGGUUUUGAGAUUCUAUAUUGGGCAGUGUGACAAUAACUUGGUAGCAGUGGAAAAUACGUGUUCCUGCUUGGCAGAGACUGAUGGGAGUCACCUAGUUGAGCAGUGUUCACAGCUUGCAUCAAUUAUCCUUUCCCCUCUAACCAGUUGGGGAGUGUCAGACUUUAUGGGUACUUACUAAACUGGGAAUUGUCAUGUAUUCUCCAGGGAAUUACAAAUUGAAGAUCAAAGUUGCUUUAUUGGAAACAUAGUGAAACAAUGUCUCUAAUCAUUCUAUUUUGUCCUAUAAUCUGAAAUUUCUUCGAGAAUUACCUCAAAUCACUAUUUAAUGAUGGGAAAAAAGAUUAUUGAUGGUUAGAGAACAGCCUAUAAAUGUUAAUUUCAUUCACAGUAAAAAAAAGAAUCUAUAUUUAUAUAUUAUAUAUUUAAUAAAUGUAUAUUUUAUCAGAGAUGGGAUACAAACGUGCUAAUUUUUGGAGAAAAAGUAAAAAAUGUCAAGCGCAAUCAAGUGAGACAUGUUAUGUAAAUAGUUAUCUUCUUUCGAUGAUUACAGCAAGUGUCCAAGAUCAUCUAUGGCGGAUCACGUCAUCGCACAGAACUAAUAAGAGUAACUAACAUCUUAAGGACAACAAUACAAAGAGGCAUUUGUUUUGGAAAUAAAACCAUGGGAGGAGAGGCAAGGAGAGAAAUUAUUAUUAUUAAUAUUAACUGUGUGUUAAUGUAGAGAUUUCGUGUCUGUAAAUUCAUAGAGCAGUUGGUACCCUUUACUGGCAGAUUAUUAGCAUCUCACUGUUAAAUCUAUCAGUUAUUGUUAAUAGAAAAAUCUUGUAAAAUUUAUAUUUUAUUUCAUUUAGGUAUUGGAUCUGCAUUCAGAGCCUCUCCCACAUACCUUUACUGAGUCAGAGUAUACCCCCAUCACCUCUCCCUCUGUCUGCGUACACCUAAACUUACAUCAUCAUGGCAAGAUCACCAUAGCAACCAGAAAACGAGCUGUUGGAUGCUGAAUGAUGCCAAGAAUUGCAAAUAGUAAAGCCACAAAGUUAUGGAGAGAAUAUUAAAUUGCAC
This 6323-nucleotide long non-coding RNA is filed under the name Pelobates cultripes (western spadefoot toad). Lineage: Eukaryota; Metazoa; Chordata; Amphibia; Anura; Pelobatidae. The record is from RNAcentral.